AGGGCACCACCAGGAGUGGAGCCUGCGGCUUAAUUUGACUCAACACGGGAAAUCUCACCAGGCCCGGACACCGGAAGGAUUGACAGAUUGAGAGCUCUUUCUUGAUUCGGUGGGUGGUGGUGCAUGGCCGUUCUUAGUUGGUGGAGCGAUUUGUCUGGUUAAUUCCGAUAACGAACGAGACUCUGGCCUACUAAAUAGACGUUAGAUCCCUUUGUGGGUCUAUCGCAGCUUCUUAGAGGGACGGGCGGCGUUCAGCCGCACGAGAUUGAGCAAUAACAGGUCUGUGAUGCCCUUAGAUGUUCUGGGCUGCACGCGCGCUACACUGAAGGAAUCGGCGUGUGUUCCCUGCCCGAAAGGACUGGGAAACCCGUUGAACCUCCUUCGUGAUGGGGAUCGGGGAUUGCAAUUAUUCCCCAUGAACGAGGAAUUCCCAGUAGGCGCGAGUCAUAAGCUUGCGUCGAUUACGUCCCUGCCCUUUGUACACACCGCCCGUCGCUACUACCGAUCGAGUGAUUUAGU
RNAcentral lists this ribosomal RNA (519 nucleotides) under uncultured eukaryote. Its description in RNAcentral is "SSU rRNA". It matches the Rfam family "Eukaryotic small subunit ribosomal RNA", at positions 1161 to 1702 of the family's 1831-position model. The record is from RNAcentral.